AGUGAGCGCUGGCGGUAGGCCUAACACAUGCAAGUCGAACGGCAGCACAGUAAGAGCUUGCUCUUACGGGUGGCGAGUGGCGGACGGGUGAGGAAUACAUCGGAAUCUACUUUUUCGUGGGGGAUAACGUAGGGAAACUUACGCUAAUACCGCAUACGACCUACGGGUGAAAGCAGGGGAUCUUCGGACCUUGCGCGAUUGAAUGAGCCGAUGUCGGAUUAGCUAGUUGGCGGGGUAAAGGCCCACCAAGGCGACGAUCCGUAGCUGGUCUGAGAGGAUGAAUCAGCAACACGGGAACUGAGACACGGUCCAGACUCCUACGGGAGGCAGAAUGGGGGAAUAUGGAACAAGGGGCGCAAGCCUGAUCCAGCCAUACCGCGUGGGUGAAGAAGGCCUUCGGGUGGUAAAGCCCUUUUGUGGGGAAAGAAAAGCAGCAGGUUAAUACCCCGCUGUUCGGACGGUACCCAAAGAAUAAACACCGGCUAACUUCGG
This 492-nucleotide ribosomal RNA is filed under the name uncultured bacterium. RNAcentral's name for it is "partial 16S ribosomal RNA". It matches the Rfam family "Bacterial small subunit ribosomal RNA", at positions 29 to 506 of the family's 1533-position model. The record is from RNAcentral.